RNAcentral lists this ribosomal RNA (219 nucleotides) under uncultured bacterium. RNAcentral describes it as "partial 16S ribosomal RNA". It matches the Rfam family "Bacterial small subunit ribosomal RNA", at positions 1282 to 1500 of the family's 1533-position model. The record is from RNAcentral.
AACGUCCCAGUUCGGAUUGUAGCCUGCAACCCGGCUACAUGAGGCUGGAAUCGCUAGUAAUCGCAGAUCAGAAUGCUGCGGUGAAUACGUUCCCGGGUCUUGUACACACCGCCCGUCACACCAUGGGAGCCGGGAAUGCCCGAAGUCGGUGACCCAACCGUAAGGAGGGAGCCGCCGAAGGCAGGCCUGGUAACUGGGGUGAAGUCGUAACAAGGUAAC